UCAGAGGAGGACGGGCCAUGGAAGGAGUUGGGACUUUCCCCCUUUUGGCCCUUGGCACCUUCAUCAGAACUUAGCCUGGGACUCCUUUCUCCGCUGACCUGGGGCAGCCAGUCUUGCAACCAAAGCCCUCUGCUGAAACGCUCCGUGCAGCCCUGUCUACUGAGGGCUCAGGAUCUUCACCUUGCUACUUGACCAGUCCUGGGACUCCAUCCUCAGCUCACUACAGGCAACACCCUUCAAAGCAAGAUCCUUGCUUCAAUGGGACCUCAGAUUUGGACAUUCAGGUUUCUGGGGCUCCACUAUGCACAGCUGGGGCUUCCCCCACCAGACCAAGAUUCUCCCUUCCCUGAGACCCUCCAGGCCGAAAUGACAGUCACCUCAACCUGACAGCUCUUCCUGAGCUUCCCAAGUCACAGGAGAGGCUUUUGGUUUUGGACCAUGAGAAUGGCUUACAUAUUCAAAAGGUUGGAUUUGGGAAGCAAUGCUAAGCAGUGGAAUGGACAUCGACAUAGAGAGAUCAGCUCCACACUUAUACUCUGCCACUCAACUUCCCCAUGUGACUUGAGGAUCACUCUAACUCCAAAACAUAGCAAGCUCGCGGAACAUCAGGGUUCAUGCAAAGUAUUCCAAGGAGCCCCUUGAAGCAACAGAAUGGAUUGCUCUUCUAUGGUGGAAUGGCACCCUGGAUGAUUAAAACCGUAGCAGCAAACAAAACCUCCAUCAAGUAAGAAUUCAGAGUGUGAGAUAUCACGCACAGCCACGCGUGGAUCUUUAUAUACGUGUCAAUGUGUUUGAUUGUAUUUUUGCUUUCAAAGUAUGUAUUGAGCAUUUCUUCUAGGUCCUCAGUAACAUCUUUUUAAAAAAAAAAUAAAUGCUUAGGGAAUUGUUUUAUAUUAAACUCGCUUCCAUUGUUAUCAACUUGGAGAGUGUCCCUCAUACAUGGAGCUCUCUCACAGGAUUGACUUUUCAUAUUAGGAGUGUAAAUAAAAGUUGUUCCUUGGUUUGUGUAUUACAGAUAUUCCUGAAAACAGAGUCAAGUUAUAUUUCUAAAGUACUAGCGUCUGCUUAAAGAAAUGACAAGGUGAAGUCUUUCACAAAGUAAGCAUUCAAUGUAUGAUUUCUCUGCUAUGUAAAUCUGGUUGUUCAUACAGUUUCUAUGACAUAAUUGGCCACGAC
This 1176-nucleotide long non-coding RNA is filed under the name Homo sapiens (human). Its description in RNAcentral is "HSALNT0280510". Lineage: Eukaryota; Metazoa; Chordata; Mammalia; Primates; Hominidae. The record is from RNAcentral.